GUCAGACUUUUGCCGGUGAGUACUCUCCCGACAGUUUCAUUGCCCAUUGUUCAUCAAAAGCCAGUGCAUGUACCUUGCAGUGGCGUUGAUCAUUAUCAUUGCGAGUUUGGUUAAACUCCAAAUUCGUCUUCAGGAAUAUUGUUCCUGGGACGCAGUUGUGGGCCGACUCUCCCGGCUGCCAACGUACCACAAUGCACCGCCUCGUGGCUAUGUUCUUUCUAAUAAGCGUCGCAAGAGCUAUGGGAUUCCGCCCCCAUGGUUCUAUUGGGGGAGAGGACCGCUUCAUGCUUACCGAAGCGUUGCUACAUGAGAUAGUGGAUCACUUGGGCAGGAACGUGAACGACGGCGCUACCUCCUACCUUGAGUUUCCUUCCAAUGAAAGACAACUCAACCUGAUAGCGCGCGCCUCCAAAGAUAUGGAUCAUGAACAACUUGAUUAUGAUUCAUUGAUUGAAGGAAAUCCUAGCCCAAGUAUUCGAGACCAGGAAUAUCUGCAACAUAGCUCACUGUGGGGACACCAGUAUGUAACCGGCGGUGCAGGAGAAGGGGAGCAGCGACUUCAACCAUCAGGACUCGUUCCGAAUCGCCAGAUGGUCAAGACAGAUGCAGUACUGCCAGCUUAUUGCAAUCCUCCCAACCCCUGCCCAGUUGGUUACACAGAAGACCAAGGAUGCAUCAGCGAGUUUGAAAACACUGCUGCGUUCAGUCGAGAGUAUCAGCUAGCUCAACGCUGUAUGUGUGAUGGUGAACACAUGUUUAGCUGCCCUGAUGACUCUUCGUCUGACCUGGACCUCCACUUCCCUGACCACAAGAAUCUGGUUGCCAAAAAGUUUAACCCAGAUAUGGAGAACCCCUUUCUCUUCGGUGAGCGUCUACCCAUUGCUGCCAAAAAAGGAUUCAAUAUGCAAGUCUUCUAAUGCUAUCGUAUCCGCAUAUUUAACCGUCUAAUAAUAUCUUUUUAGAAAGUUUAAGUGUUAUAUUUAGUACAGCGUAACUUAAUAUUAUAAUAUAAAAAUGACAAAUCGACAUAUAUAGUCGUUCAUUUAUCAAAUAGAGUCUUUUUUCUUUUAACUAACUAUUUUUACGAUGUAUUCGCAGUAAUUUUUUGAAGUAUAUAACUCUCGAAUUCUCGUUAUCGAUCGGCGAACUCAUGCGAAUGCAGAUGAAUCAGAAACAUUAUUUACCUAUCUAAUAAAAAGAAUAAGAAUUUUGUUGACGAAAGUAUGGACAUACUUUAAAUUCUGAUCUAUACUAUAUUUUUUAUUCUGUACAAUUCUUCAAUAGGAUAAGUCUUUGAUGUGGUUUAUAUUUAAUAUGUGUGUAUUACAGUGCAACCUCAUGUUAAGUAAUAAUUUAGUUUUGGUGAUGAAAAUGAUCUAUUUAUGUUACAAGAAAACAAGGGUAUUCUUAUUUUCUUAUUUGUAUUUUAUAUAUAUAUUUUUUUCCUGCAAAACAAUCAAUUUCAUUUAAUUUCAUUUAUAAUAAAUAUUGUCUAAUCAACUGAAUCGAAUCACAUUGAUUUUAUUGGGUUUCGCAAUGUUUUGUGAAAAUAUAUAAAAGCAAAAAUUAUAGUAAACAGGUAAAUCUAUAAGUGGCUUAUAAUUAAAUAAAGAAUGGCUUUCCAAAUAUUAAAAAUAAAUUUGAUUAAGUACGUUAUAAACAAAUGUUUUAUCUUAGGCUUAGGAAAACAUAAGGCUUUAUAAUAAAGGAUGUAUUUGGACGUUUUACCAAUGAUCACUGGGAAAUCUUUGUCUUGGGAAAAACAGAUUUUCGCACACUAUCCUCUCUAAACAUCUCCCGACAUAACUCUAACCGUUUCAGAAUGAUUUCAAAUGGUAUGACAUGGUAAUUAUCUCACCAUUUACCAUGUUCUUCAGAUAAGUCGUAAACUUACUAAUUGAAAGGUGGUUAAGGCUUGAAAUGACCAAAGAUCAUGAUAAAAUGUACACUUGGCAUUUUACGAGAUUUAUUAAGACUUUGAAUAGGCGAAAAUAUGUAUAUAAAUUUUCUAGUUUAAACAUAUUGAGGAGUUGUUCAGCUUAAUACCUACCGGAAUCUGAAUAUCACGCCAUUACGUCAAAGUACAAAUUUGCACCCAAAUCAUGUUGAUGUCUAUCUGACGGCAUUCCACAAAAUUGUUUUGCUCUCAGAGCCCCUUCAUGAAAUCAAAUACCAGCUACAGUAUUCCCAAAUCAAUAUGAAUUAGUUACCGUGAAUACCAGCUACGGAUUUUAUAACCUUGUAGGCAUUGCAAACUAUGGGAGCUUGGUUAUCCAUAAAGUCUGCAAUAAAUCUCAUACAAUUCCGAAAUCAAACAAUACUAGAACUAUCCAAUUUAUAGUUAUUUGAAAACGUGAUUUACUCCAUUCAUUCCAAUCAAAAUCACAAACUACAUUUUGCCAUUAUAAUUUUUUAUCAAACAGUUAUCUGGUCAUACCAAUGUACAUAAACAAAACCUUAUUACUUCACAAAACUAUUGAGCAUUCUACGAGUCAUAAAUGACUCAAACACCUUAGCUAUAAUUAGUUUUAUAAAAAAAAUAUUAAUAUAUUGAAAACUGCAGCGGCUCACAAAGACGGAACAUUAUGUAUAUUAGAAUUAAACUAAAUAGUAUGAUAUUUGUAUUAAGUCACGUUUAGUUAAAUGUCUCUCUUAUUUCUUCAAAUUGUCAUAAUAUUUAUUGUAAUUCAAUGCGCCUUUCCGUAUUGGGGCGGAAUAGAAUACUAACCCCAAUCCCAUGCCAGGAUACAAGGGUGUCGUAAGAGGCGACAAAACCUGGCAACCCUGAUAAUAAUCAGAAAUCAGGGAUUUAUAUUAUGUUGCAUCGAAAUAACGGAUUGGUUUGCUUUUUAGCAUUUAUUUUAUUUUGAUCCGUAAACCAAUUUGUUUUAACAUUGCUUUCUUUUCAUGCGAAUUAUUUGAUCCUAAGUACAAGACCGAAACAAAAUUAUGUAUAUUUCUUGAUUUGAUAGCGGUAUAUAUCUAAUAGUUUUAUUUCUUAAUAUAAUAUUAUAAGUUUUAAUUACAAUUUUUUUUUGUAUUUAUAACAAUGUAAUAUUUGACAGUAAAUAUGUCUUCCUUAGUAAUUAAUCAAUAUGUACGGACAAUAUGUCCCACGUUGAUAAAUAAUAAUAAUUAAUAUGUAAUUGUAUCUGCAAAACUCUAAAUGGUAUCUAAGAGAAAAGAAAAAGGAACUCGUUUUAUUAAAUUAUUUAUCGACGUGGUCUCAACUAUUAAUUAGAUUCUAGAUGCAAAUUUCAACGAAUGAUACUUUUUGAAUUAACAUCAUUAUUAAUCACUACCAAAACCAUGUAACAGUUUCAACAUUCAACUUUGAAAAUGUCACAAAAAAUAUUGAAUGGCAUUUCCACUGUGUAUUUCCAUUACAUUGACGAUGUUUUUAAAAUCCACUGACUACUUUCUAUCUCUCCAGCUGUUUUGAAUAGCUCUGAGCUCUAGCAAGAGACAAAUUACCCCAACGAAGAUUAAAAUACACAGAAGGAAACUCUCGAAGACAAUGCGCGACAUCUAGAUACGUGACAUCAUGAAAUAUAUGCGAAAGACACAGCAAAAGUUGAAAAUCUGAAUCCGUAGGCAAUUCAGCUAGUUAAAAUAGCUAUAGAAAUAGAAAAGAAACUAAAUAUCAUCGUUACGGAUAUAGAAUUGUGGAAAUGCAAUCACUAUAAAAGUUAUCAAGGACUAUUGUUUACGAAAAAUAAAAGGCGUUUAGUUGCUCACAAAACUUAAUAUUAAAUUAUUCAUGAACAUAGCAUGCAUAUCGAUCCUUCUAUAAAUAGGCAAUUCAAAGCCUCUUUCAUCUCUUCUAUCUCUUCGAUCUUUUCUUCAACGACAAAAUUUAACAACAAAACAUUACAUAACAACUAAACAAACUAACAUGAUACUUUUUGAAUUAACAUCAUCACCUUUCAUUAUUAAUCACUACCAAUACCCUGUAACUUGUAACAGUUGUAACGUUCCACUUAUAAAAGGUCAAAAAAUAUAAAAUGACAUUUCCACAGUUUAUUUCCAUUACAUUGACGAUGUUUUUAAAAUCCACUGACUACUUUCUAUCUCUCCAGCUGUUUUGAAUAGCUCUGAGCUCUAGCAAGAGAUAAAUUACGUCAACGAAGAUUAAAAUACACAGAAGGAAACUCUCGAAGACAAUACGCGACAUCUAGAUACGUGACAUCAAGAAAUAUAUGCGAAAGACACAGCAAAAGUUGAAAAUCUGAAUCCGUAGGCAAUUCAGCUAGUUAAAAUAGCUAUAGAAAUAGAAAAGAAACUAAAUAUGAUCGUUACGGAUAUAGAAUUGUGGAAAUGCAAUCACUAUAAAAGUAAUCAAGGAUUAUUGUUUACGAAAAAACAUAAGGCGUUUAGUUGCUCACAAAACUUUAUAUUAAAUUAUUCAUGAACAUAGUGUAUAUUGCAUGCAUAUCGAUCCUUCUAUAAAUAGGCAAUUCAAAGCCUCUUCUAUCUCUUCGAUCAUUUCUUCAACGACAAAAUUUAACAUCAAAACAUUACAUAACAACUAAACAAACUAACAUGAUACUUUUUGAAUUAACAUAAUCACCUUUCAUUAUUUAUUAUUACCAAUACCCUGUAACUUGUAACAGUUGUAACGUUCCACUUAUAAAAGGUCAAAAAAUAUAAAAUGACAUUUCCACAGUUUAUUUCCAUUACAUUGACGAUGUUUUUAAAAUCCACUGACUACUUUCUAUCUCUCCAGCUGUUUUGAAUAGCUCUGAGCUCUAGCAAGAGACAAAUUACCCCAACGAAGAUUAAAAUACACAGAAGGAAACUCUCGACGACAAUGCGCGACAUCUAGAUACGUGACAUCAAGAAAUAUAUGCGAAAGACACAGCAAAAGUUGAAAAUCUGAAUCCGUAGGCAAUUCAGCUAGUUAAAAUAGCUAUAGAAAUAGAAAAGAAACUCAAUAUGAUCGUUACGGAUAUAGAAUUGUGGAAAUGCAAUCACUAUAAAAGUUAUCAAGGAUUAUUGUUUACGAAAAAACAUAAGGCGUUUAGUUGCUCACAAAACUUUAUAUUAAAUUAUUCAUGAACAUUGUGUAUAUAGCAUGCAUAUCGAUCCUUCCAUAAAUAGGCAACUCAAAGCCUCUUCUAUCUCUUCGAUCCUUUCUUCAACGACAAAAUUUAACAACAAAACAUUGCAUUACAACUAAACAAACUAACAUGAUACUUUUUGAAUUAACAUCAUCACCUUUCAUUAUUAAUCACUACCAAUACCCUGUAACUUGUAACAGUUGUAACAUUCCACUUAUAAAAGGUCAAAAAAUAUAAAAUGACAUUUCCACAGUUUAUUUCCAUUACAUUGACGAUGUUUUUAAAAUCCACUGACUACUUUCUAUCUCUCCAGCUGUUUUGAAUAGCUCUGAGCUCUAGCAAGAGAUAAAUUACGUCAACGAAGAUUAAAAUACACAGAAGGAAACUCUCGAAGACUAUGCGCGACAUCUAGAUACAUGACAUCAAGAAAUAUAUGCGAAAGAAACAGCAAAAAUUGAAAAUCUGAAUCCGUAGGCAAUUCAGCUAGUUAAAAUAGCUAUAGAAAUAGAAAAGAAACUAAAUAUCAUCGUAACGGAUAUAGAAUUGUGGAAAUGCAAUCACUAUAAAAGUUAUCAAGGAUUAUUGUUUACGAAAAAACAUAAGGCGUUUAGUUGCUCACAAAACUUUAUAUUAAAUUAUUCAUGAACAUUGUGUUUAUAGCAUGCAUAUCGAUCCUUCUAUAAAUAGGCAACUCAAAGCCUCUUUCAUCUCUUCUAUCUCUUCGAUCUUUUCUUCAACGACAAAAUUUAACAACAAAACAUUACAUUACAACUAAACAAACUAACAUGAUACUUUUUGAAUUAACAUCAUCACCUUUCAUUAUUUAUCACUAUCAAUACCCUGUAACUUGUAAUAGUUGUAACGUUCCACUUAUAAAAGGUCAAAAAAUAUAAAAUGACAUUUCCACAGUUUAUUUCCAUUACAUUGACGAUGUUUUUAAAAUCCACUGACUACUUUCUAUCUCUCCAGCUGUUUUGAAUAGCUCUGAGCUCUAGCAAGAGACAAAUUACCCCAACGAAGAUUAAAAUACACAGAAGGAAACUCUCGACGACAAUGCGCGACAUCUAGAUACGUGACAUCAAGAAAUAUAUGCGAAAGACACAGCAAAAGUUGAAAAUCUGAAUCCGUAGGCAAUUCAGCUAGUUAAAAUAGCUAUAGAAAUAGAAAAGAAACUCAAUAUGAUCGUUACGGAUAUAGAAUUGUGGAAAUGCAAUCACUAUAAAAGUUAUCAAGGAUUAUUGUUUACGAAAAAACAUAAGGCGUUUAGUUGCUCACAAAACUUUAUAUUAAAUUAUUCAUGAACAUUGUGUAUAUAGCAUGCAUAUCGAUCCUUCCAUAAAUAGGCAACUCAAAGCCUCUUCUAUCUCUUCGAUCCUUUCUUCAACGACAAAAUUUAACAACAAAACAUUACAUAACAACUAAACAAACUAACAUGAUACUUUUUGAAUUAACAUCAUCACCUUUCAUUAUUUAUUACUACCAAUACCCUGUAACUUGUAACAGUUGUAACGUUCCACUUAUAAAAGGUCAAAAAAUAUAAAAUGACAUUUCCACAGUUUAUUUCCAUUACAUUGACGAUGUUUUUAAAAUCCACUGACUACUUUCUAUCUCUCCAGCUGUUUUGAAUAGCUCUGAGCUCUUGCAAGAGACAAAUUACCCCAACGAAGAUUUAAAUACACAGAAGGAAACUCUCGAAGACAAUGCGCGACAUCUAGAUACGUGACAUCAAGAAAUAUAUGCGAAAGACACAGCAAAAGUUGAAAAUCUGAAUCCGUAGGCAAUUCAGCUAGUUAAAAUAGCUAUAGAAAUAGAACAGAAACUCAAUAUGAUCGUUACGGAUAUAGAAUUGUGGAAAUGCAAUCACUAUAAAAGUUAUCAAGGAUUAUUGUUUACGAAAAAACAUAAGGCGUUUAGUUGCUCACAAAACUUUAUAUUAAAUUAUUCAUGAACAUUGUGUAUAUAGCAUGCAUAUCGAUCCUUCUAUAAAUAGGCAACUCAAAGCCUCUUCUAUCUCUUCGAUCCUUUCUUCAACGACAAAAUUUAACAACAAAACAUUACAUAACAACUAACCAAACUAACAUGAUACUUUUUGAAUUAACAUAAUCACCUUUCAUUAUUUAUUACUACCAAUACCCUGUAACUUGUAACAGUUGUAACGUUCCACUUAUAAAAGGUCAAAAAAUAUAAAAUGAAAUUUCCACAGUUUAUUUCCAUUACAUUGACGAUGUUUUUAAAAUCCACUGAAUACUUUCUAUCUCUCCAGCUGUUUUGAAUAGCUCUGAGCUGUAGCAAGAGACAAAUUACCCCAACGAAGAUUAAAAUACACAGAAGGAAACUCUCGAAGACAAUGCGCGACAUCUAGAUACGUGACAUCAAGAAAUAUAUGCGAAAGACACAGCAAAAGUUGAAAAUCUGAAUCCGUAGGCAAUUCAGCUAGUUAAAAUAGCUAUAGAAAUAGAAAAGAAACUAAAUAUCAUCGUUACGGAUAUAGAAUUGUGGAAAUGCAAUCACUAUAAAAGUUAUCAAGGAUUAUUGUUUACGAAAAAACAUAAGGCGUUUAGUUGCUCACAAAACUUUAUAUUAAAUUAUUCAUGAACAUUGUGUUUAUAGCAUGCAUAUCGAUCCUUCUAUAAAUAGGCAACUCAAAGCCUCUUUCAUCUCUUCUAUCUCUUCGAUCUUUUCUUCAACGACAAAAUUUAACAACAAAACAUUACAUUACAACUAAACAAACUAACAUGAUACUUUUUGAAUUAACAUCAUCACCUUUCAUUAUUAAUCACUACCAAUACCCUGUAACUUGUAACAGUUGUAACGUUCCACUUAUAAAAGGUCAAAAAAUAUAAUAUGACAUUUCCACAUUUAUUUCCAUUACAUUGACGAUGUUUUUAAAAUCCACUGACUACUUUCUAUCUCUCCAGCUGUUUUGAAUAGCUCUGAGCUCUAGCAAGAGAUAAAUUACGUCAACGAAGAUUAAAAUACACAGAAGGAAACUCUCGAAGACUAUGCGCGACAUCUAGAUACGUGACAUCAAGAAAUAUAUGCGAAAGAAACAGCAAAAAUUGAAAAUCUGAAAUGCGUAGCCAAUUCAGCUAGUUAAAAUAGCUAUAGAAAUAGAAAAGAAACUAAAUAUCAUCGUUACGGUUAUAGAAUUGUGGAAAUGCAGUCACUAUAAAAGUUAUCAAGGAUUAUUGUUUACGAAAAAACAUAAGGCGUUUAGUUGCUCACAAAACUUUAUAUUAAAUUAUUCAUGAACAUUGUGUAUAUAGCAUGCAUAUCGAUCCUUCUAUAAAUAGGCAACUCAAAGCCUCUUCUAUCUCUUCGAUCCUUUCUUCAACGACAAAAUUUAACAACAAAACAUUACAUAACAACUAAACAAACUAACAUGAUACUUUUUGAAUUAACAUAAUCACCUUUCAUUAUUUAUUACUACCAAUACCCUGUAACUUGUAACAGUUGUAACGUUCCACUUAUAAAAGGUCAAAAAAUAUAAAAUGAAAUUUCCACAGUUUAAUUCCAUUACAUUGACGAUGUUUUUAAAAUCCACUGACUACUUUCUAUCUCUCCAGCUGUUUUGAAUAGCUCUGAGCUUUA
Molecule: RNA transcript, 8651 nt
Organism: Leptidea sinapis
Lineage: Eukaryota; Metazoa; Arthropoda; Insecta; Lepidoptera; Pieridae
Gene: 7B2
Gene name: neuroendocrine protein 7B2
Exons: 9
Source: RefSeq, a predicted model, not a curated record